AGCAAACCCUUUUCCAACAUCAAGUUUUGAAUAUAAGAGAUCUUUAUUGAACUUCAUUACUUAUGAAAAAGGGAAAAAAAACAUAAAUCAUAAUUCAAUUUGCAUAAUAAUAACAAACAUAAGUCAGUUCCGGACCUUCUUGUGAACUCUUUUUGCUCCAUUAUUAUUUACUUGUGGAGGGUUUGGACAGAAGCACUUGUGCGUAGUCAAAUCACAUUUGACAUCAGCGUCUAUGCAUUUCAUUGGGCAAUCGGCAUCCUUAGAGCAUGCGAACACGGCAUUACUUGAUUGUCCUACUAACAUAUAUAGACGUUGUUGAAUAAGUUAUUUAAAAGAAAAAAAAAUAACUACAUAAUAUAGGUAGAAUAAAUCUAGAUUGCUUACCUAACAAAAUAAGCAAAAAAGAGAUCAAGAAAAUCUUAAGGAAUGUUGCUUUCUCCAUUUUGUUUCAACUUUUGUGGUAGUAUUACAAUAACUAUAUG
Molecule: long non-coding RNA, 482 nt
Filed under: Nicotiana tabacum (common tobacco)
Lineage: Eukaryota; Viridiplantae; Streptophyta; Magnoliopsida; Solanales; Solanaceae
Description: long non-coding RNA (NTAB_LNC009031)
Source: RNAcentral